Small nucleolar RNA from Gossypium arboreum, 100 nucleotides. It matches the Rfam family "Plant small nucleolar RNA R71". Rfam says of the family: R71 is a member of the C/D box family of snoRNAs containing the C (UGAUGA) and D (CUGA) box motifs. Multiple nearly identical copies of this snoRNA have been identified in Arabidopsis, and it is thought to function as a 2'-O-ribose methylation guide for 18S ribosomal RNA. NCBI's taxonomy places the organism in Eukaryota, Viridiplantae, Streptophyta, Magnoliopsida, Malvales, Malvaceae. The record is from Rfam.
AUUCCAUGAUGAGGGUACUUUCAUAAUAACUUUUUGAAUCUUUCCUAUGCCUCAUACAAGGACUCAUCAUCCAUUUGUUGGAAAGCAUUAUUCUCAGCUU